UACGGAGGGUGCGAGCGUUGUCCGGAAUCAUUGGGCGUAAAGGGUGCGUAGGCGGCGCGGUAAGUCGGGUGUGAAAUCUCGGAGCUUAACUCCGAAACUGCAUUCGAUACUGCCGUGCUUGAGGACUGGAGAGGAGACUGGAAUUUACGGUGUAGCGGUGAAAUGCGUAGAUAUCGUAAGGAAGACCAGUGGCGAAGGCGGGUCUCUGGACAGUUCCUGACGCUGAGGCACGAAGGUCAGGGGAGCAAACGGG
RNAcentral lists this ribosomal RNA (253 nucleotides) under uncultured bacterium. Its description in RNAcentral is "partial 16S ribosomal RNA". It matches the Rfam family "Bacterial small subunit ribosomal RNA", at positions 524 to 776 of the family's 1533-position model. The record is from RNAcentral.